CUCCAGUUUCACAGAGCCAUGGCUCUCACACGUGCCAUGCUCACCCUCGCUAUGUUACUAGCUCUUGUAGCAUUGUCCAUGGCUCAAGGCCCAGCCUCGGCACCAAAAUAUUUCAACCCCUCCAAGCCAAAGCCGCCGCCAACCGCCGCCUCACCCACGACCCCCAUCGCCUCUCCCCCCACAUAUAUGGCGGCACCACCUCCAUCAACCACCGCAUCGCCGCCACCUAGUACCGUUGGAGCUACUCCUCCCACCACCUCAGCCACCUCACCAACCACCGCAACGCCCCCGUCCAUGGUGGCUACACCACCAACCGCAACGCCCCCGUCCAUGGUGGCUACACCACCAACUGCUGCCGCCCCACCUAUGGAAGCAAGCGGCCCAACAAGCCCAGGCCCAACAAGUUCUGGCCCAUCUAACACACCACCUGCACCAGCUCCAGGAUCCUCCAGUACGCCCUCCAUUGCACAGCCACCAGCCCCAGUCCCAUCCAGUCCAGACUCAGGUGCUUUUGUUCAUGGGAUUAGCAUGGCCUUGGUGGCAUUCUUGAGUGGAGUUGCGCUAGUCCUUGCUUAGAACACAGGCUCUCCUUUGAAAUUAAUUUAUGUAGAUUUAGAUUAAUUAGUAUAUCUGUGUAUUCUUUGUUUUCCUAUAAUUUAUUGUUACCCUUCUUCUUUCUUUUUAAAAUUUUCUUUUGGGUUUGUGUUGGUUUUGUUGAUGGUUUUUGGGAGGUCCAUUGUGAUUUAUGAGAGGAGGGUGCAGGGUGUUUGGACACAUUUGUUGGAUCUACUUAAUAGCUCUUCUUUUGUAGCAUUUUCAUGAUGACUAGACGAAUAAUAAGAGAGAUCCAUGAUUCUUGUUUGUGUUUCCUAAGUUUUAAUUAACUCUACAUUCAUAAAUCCGGUGUACGUAAUAAUUCCGAUUCACAGUCUAACAAUCUAACAUAUUUAAUUAAUAGUUGGAUUCACGGUCUAACGAAAAAACAUUAAUUUUAAUCUUAUGUUGCCACACAAUACUAAGCAGGCUUUAGAAUCUAAUCUAAGUUUACCCAAAUCAUUCUUCUUCCUAUGUACUUUAUUUUUAUCAUUAUUAAGGGGUUUUUUUCUCUUUUUUUCAUGUCACAAAAAGACGUUUUUGGACUCCUGGCUCUAGUAGUUGGAUGGAUUCUUAAUGAAUUGUAAUGUAUCUUUUGCAUAAGACCAUUUGAUACAUACACUGAUACACAUAAUCAUACACUAAAACUGUGAGAUAAAGGUGCAUGGGAAUAUACCAAACAGCUUUAAAAAAACUCAACCAAUUAAUUACAAAAGGAAAAAAAAAGGAGGAAAAAGAAAAAGAUAUUUAGAUGCCCUAGUAAAAAGGGUAGUUGGCUUGCUGGAACUGGUAGAUGGAGAAGUGAUGCAUUGGUGCAAAUGGUGUCAUUGGUGUGUAGUGGAAUUGGUGGGGAAGGAAUGAGGGAGGGAAAGUUUUUAUUUUUAUUUUUUUGGGGGGGUUCUUGAGGGGAGAAAAGGGUUAGGUGGUAGGAUUAUGUGGAAGAAAUGGGAUGGUGAAAUGCUUUUGGGGAUAGGAUGGUGUCCUUUGGAUUUUUAUUUUUCAAUUUUUGUUAUUGUGGGUUAGAAGGGUUAAGGGAGAAGGGGCCUCUGGUGGUGAAAGCAUAGGGAAUGAAUGGUCAUUGAAGGUGGGGCUAAGUAUGCAAGUGACAAAAGAACAUGAAUUGGAAAGUGAUAUGUGCACAUGGUUUUUUAGCCCCACAAACAUGAGAGAGAGAGAGAGAGAGAGAGAGAGAGAGAGAGAGAGAGAGAGAGAGAGAGAGAGAGAAGAGAGUUUCCAGUUCUAGCUCACAUGGCUUGUAAAUCGAUUCAAAUACAGCUUGAUGUUGUACUGUGUUUUGGGAUUUAGUUAUUGUGCAUUUUGGUGUAUUUAUGGAAAUACUUGCUUUAUUCUUAGAAAGUAGGAAUUCUUACUAUUUUUAUCAAUCACAGUUUGACAUGUGUGUAGAAAUUUUUCUUUUUAUGUUUUUCUUGAUUAUUUUUGUAUAUGUGUCAAACUGUAAUUUGCAAAAAGUUGGAAUGCCUCCUUCCCAAGCAAUGUCCUUUCAUCAAUACAACUCAAGAUCAUGUGUUUAGUUCAUCUCUUCUUAAGAAUUUGAGGUUCUGUUGGGACCUCAAAAUUCUGACCUAGAGACUCCAAAUUCUAAAUUUAAAUCGUAGCUCGAAACCUCAAAUAUGAUUAGAUCUUGUGUUUGAAUUCUCAAUAUAUAUAUAUAAGGGUUAAAUAUCCUUUUGGUCACUAGGUUGUACAUGAAAAUUCAAUUUGGUCAUUGAGAAAUUUUUUUUAGCCAAAUUGGUCACUGUGUUUCCCAAAGUUUACAAUUUAUAGACAUUUUGUUAUCUUCCGUUAAGUGCAGUUUUUAUUUUUAUUUUUUUAGGAAGCACGUUCAAUAUUCUUCCUCUAACUCAACGAGUUAGGGUAUGUUGUGCUAUUAAGGUUUAACAAAUUGGGGGAAAGCUUGGGUUCAAAUCAAAAUUGUGAGGUAUAAGGUUACGGAUUGGAUGCUAUAUUGAAGCCUGAAUCGAUUGCGAGAGAACUGUAUUGUGACUUUGGAUGGCAAGGAGAUGUAAUGAAGGUGAUAUAGCAUCAAAAUAUAUUGUUAAGUUGUUGAUUUCAUUUUAAUUUGGUUUGAUUUUUUUAUUUUUCCUUACAUACGUCACAAUUUUGAUUUCAACCUAAGAUUUACCUCAAUUUGUUAAUGAAAUGUUUAUAAAUUGUAAACUUUGAGAAACACAGCGAUCAAUUUGGCUAAAUUUUUUUCUCAGUGACCAAAUUGAAUUUUCACAUAAAACCCAAUCACCAAAAAAGUAUUUCAAAAAAAAAAAAAAACUUGUAUUGUUCAUUACAUUAAUAAUUUCAAUUUUUCCAAUCAAACAAUAGAAUCACUUUCAUUCCAUUCCCAUUCUUCUAUAUUCUAUACCAACAAAACACCACCUUAUUUCUGCAAUUUGAUUAUGGGAAGUACCCGUCAUGGUGGAGAAGUUAAUUUAUAUAAGUCACAAGGAAAGGAUGCGUUCCAUGCUUUGGUGAUUAGAUUCUUAAAGCAAAUAUGAGUUAUGUCGUUUCAUGAGAAAGAAAAAAAAAAUUAUUAAGCAUUGGAUACCAUUUGAAAAAGCUAACACUCAAGAUUCAUCCUUUGCCCUUUUCUAGCUAUGAAGAAAUAACACCAAAACCAAUCGUUCCCUCUAAAAGCCUUUAGAAAACAUAUCAAGCUAAACAUGCAUGGUUUGAUUUGGGACCCGGAGUUGCUCCUCACUAAGGUACAAACCAACGUCUCCUUCUUCCUUCCUCUUGUUUGGGACACCAUAGCAUGGAACCCAUGACUAAUAGGCAUGUUUUCAUGGAACCUAAGGAGCUUAUUUUUGCUUUGAACAUGUAGGUCCUUAACUUUGUCAAAUUGAAACGUUAAAACUUUUCCAAAUGAAACUAGUACGAGCUUGAUCCUCUACAUUUCACAUAGUGCAUGUGACAAUGCAAGGGCGAGCCUAUGCUAGGUUGUAGUUCACUUAUUAUAUAUACUAGUCUUUCAAUUCGCGCUUAUGGACGUGUCAAUAAAUUUAUUUUAUUUUUAUUGAUAUAGAAUUUUUGUUAAACAUAGACUCUUAUUAUUAUCAUUUUUGUUAAGAAAAUGAUGCCACAAAGCUCGUACGGUGAGACAGACAACACUUAAUAUAGUGGCAUUUUCAAUGUUGAUGGGUUUUACUUGGUUGGACAGCAGGGCAGGACCUCACAUCAAAUAAAGGUGCUCAAUGCAAUGUUUUUUUUGGUCAAAAGGAAAAUUUCAUUGCCAAGUAAAGAGCAUCCAACUCUGCCACAUAGGAGCUCAAUUUCAUAAGUCGGUAAAAGAAAAGCAGGUGUUUAAUGCAUUUACAUGUAAAAUAGGGAUACAUUUGCUGAGCUGAAUUAUGUGAUUGGAUAAGAUUUAUAAUCCUGGUUAAAUAUUUAAUGGCUUAAAAACAAUAUUGAUCGGAAAAUAUCAAAUUCUACUAAGUUCAAAUGUAGUAGGAUUAUAAAUCUCGCUAAAAUAUUGAGAUUAAGUUGGAUUGGAUUAUGUCUGCUAGGCCAUGCAAUAGUAUAUUUUAGUUAAUUCAGUCCCUUAAUCAUGAAUAGUACCAAAUACAGGAUUGGAUUAAUGUUAUCUUAUCUAAUUCAGUGUACCUCCAAUCCAAUUCCAGUCUCCAAACACGGCCGUAGGGAUAUCUCGUGGUUUCUGCUCUAAACAGCCAAACCUUCAAAGAGACAUUUGGAGGCUUUAAGCUUGGCUACUCUGAGUCAUAUGCCAACAGUCGAUAAGCAAGAAACCAGUAAUGGUAGGAGAGAGUUUCAAACCACUUUCGCAAACCACUUUAUUAUGACUAAUUAUUAAUUGAGUAAUGUAACACAUCCAGUUUUUUUCACCAAAAGUUCAAAAGUAUUCAGAAUGUUUUCCAAGCCGAAUGUCUUGUGCUUAAAACAUUUGAACUUGUUCAACAUUGCAUGUGAGCACUUGUGCUCAGGUUGGGCAUGCGUGCAUGAUGUGUUGCAUAAAUCUCUCUUUAAGAUUCAGGAAAAACUCCAUACUUGUCGAUCACAUUACCCUGUCAUUUACAUGUCGGGACCAUGCAGGAAAUGAAACCAGUAAUAUGAAUAAAUCAGAGAUAAUACAGUGACAUGGUCAGCUAAAUUUGGAUUUUGGAACCAGCAACAUGGAUAAAAAUUGCCAGCACAGAAAAUGAAAGCUGAACUCAAUUUACCAAGAAAUGCACUCUGCUGUGCCUCACAAACAUGUUAAAUGUAAAGGAAGAUGUAAAGAAUAGAGGUAUCUGAAAACAAAAAGGUUGAUUUACCCCAGAAGUUUAACCAGUGCACCUCAAUGGGUUCGUAUAUGUAAUGCUUAUCUUGUUGAAUACAUUUCUUUGUAAGGUAACUUGGACUCUACCUGUAUCUCUUUAAUUAGUUUGUCACCCACUGAACCCAGCUCAUGCUCCUUACAUGGUUGGGUAACCAAGCCAUGAAGGUCCAAACUCCAGUCAAGGGGUAUUGCCGUAUCAGUUAAUAUUGUUCUUUUGGUCAAGGCGCUUGAACUCUAACAGAAUCAUUAUACCUCAUCUAUUUUUUUCUCUGUUUUCUUCGACACUCAAAACAAUCUGUACAUGGAGAUUUGUUUUUACUUGAAGAACUUGCUUGCAGCUUGCUAGGUGGUAUUUUCAGGUCUUCCAUUAGUACAUGGCGAAGCUUCUCAUUUUCCUCCAUGAGCUCUUCAAUGACUUGCUGGUGUUUCAAUAUCUGAUGCAUAGGCAAUUUCAAUUUGACAAUUCUAAGUAUAAAAAAAAGGAAAAGAGAAAGGAUAUUAACAUGACUUGAGGCCUCUUAAAGAAUGCUUUCCAUAAAUUUAGACUUUUCCAGUGGUUACUGGUAUUUUACCAGGCAAUAGCAUCAUAUCAAACAUGUAUCUAAGAUCAAUUUCUUUAAAACAAGGAAAACAAAAUAAACACAACCAAAAAUUUGCAGGAAAAUAAACUGGUAGCUAUGAGCCGAUAUUAAACAUUACCAUUUGAAGCAUUUUGUUCUCCAACCUCAAGCGUCCAGCCUACACAGGUAAAACCAAAAAUUAGAUAAUCACAGAAAAGAUUAGAUAAUGAGGGAUCAGCCAGCCCACCCACCCACCAACAUGAGAAAAUCAUGGAUUCAGUUGAACUUCCCAUGAAAUGGAAAUGCAGUUCUACACUUUUGAACAUCCUUUUUAAGGAAAAAAAGAACCACCCAUUGCUAUGUAGGCAGACAAGUAAUUCCCCAAGCUUUUAGAUAUAUUGACUAAGAACUUUACAGUAAUCACUGCUGCAAGCGAUUAUAGUUGGAAUCAAAACAAACUACUGCAAACACCUCCCCAAAGAAAAUGAAGCAGAAAAUUAGAAGACAAACAUGCCCCCUGGCUCUCCUGUAAGAUUGGAACAAGUUACUUUAGAAAAUGCAAUCUUCGUAUCACACAUUUUCAUAACAAUUUUAUAUGGUUCUUUGAUAAGUAAUCAUGUUCCAUCUGUUACAUACCGCUUCAUUUGGUUCACUUUCCUCUCCUUUCAGAACUGGAUUCUGAAGAAAACUGCUGAGAACUUUUUCUGUUCGACUGCCAAAAGGUGUAUCAACUGGAGAGCCUUUUGAUGUAAAAUUUUCAUAGGCUGAAGCAGUACCAGUAUUCCCAUAUCCAGGUAAACCUUGAGAUUUAUGGUCUGGUGGCUUUGUAGCCAACUGCAUGCUACUUCCCAUUGGAUUUUGGCUUGAUGGAUCAUUUACAAUGCCUAUGGCCCUUUGCAAAGAACCUGGGAUGGCACCUUGACCAAUGGCUAAAUUGGGAGCAACUCCAAACUUCACCAUCAUCUUUGUGAUUCCUUGCUAGAGAAUAUAGAGUUAAUGAAUCAGUAGACUGUAACAAGCAACAACUCAUGACAAGAGAAACUAAUACUCACUAAAAGAUGAAAUUGAAUUUGAUGUAACACCCCUGGCUUCACAGCAAGGCCUGCAAUUGGAAAUCAACAAUUCAGCUAUCAAAAACGAAUAUUGUUAAAAUGCAUGAAUUACAGAGCACUGAUGUAUUAUCUUGUUGCAUGAGGUCAGAGGAUAUAAUGCCAAUUGGAUUUUUUUAAAGAAGACUGUGCAAUGUACAUUUUGGAACAAUGUCAUGAAGUCACUAUUCAAAUAAUUGCAACCAGUAAAAAUCUAAACAGAAGAAUCUGUUCUUGUUGAAACGUGAAUACUGUUCUGUUAUGACUCCAGAAAUCUGCACCCCUGAUCAAAUUCCUUCCACUGGACAAAGAGUUUGAACAGUGCAAGACUCCCAAAUGUAAAAUAUGUACUGUUAUCAAGAAUGCACAUAAACAACUACAUAGGCUGAAGGGCUGUUGUGAAUGCCAGAUAGCCUGCCCAAGGAACUCAGCCAAAACUUUCUUUCACAUGCAUGAAAUUGCACUACUUAAAUAAAACAUGAAUCCCUUCUACAACUCAUCAAAAUAUAGUGAUAAAUCUGUUUGCAUCACCAAAUAUUCUGAUUAUAAAUUAGGCAAGACAUAUCAUACAGGAAAUGAAAAACCAAGCACCAGCUAUCACAACGCAUUUCACCAGGAACUAGUAAACAUAAGUCUCCAUAAUAGUGCAUCAGAAAAUGCAAAUAAAGGAAACAAAACGUACUACUGAAUUCCCUAGAAACGCAUAACAUGACAUACCAACUCCAAAACCAUGGCCAAUACCAACUCCACAUCCAAUGCCUGCUUCAAUGUUCUUUGCUCCCACCUUCCUCAACUGAAGAAUGAUACAUGGGAAUAAGAGCUUGAGGAAGUCUUUGAGUGUCAGUAAUCAUUUUAUCUUCCUCUUUUCAUGACAAUGACAACGGCACUCACAAAACUGAAAAAUGAAAAGAAGAAGAUAUUUGACUUACAGAGUUAUUUACAUGUCUGCUAACGCCAGAUAAUGCAUCAGUAGCACCUCGUGUGGCACCCAUGACUUGAUUUAGUACUGGUAUUGCACCUGGUGUACAUAAUUUAAAUCAAUAUGUGGGUUAACUAAUAUCUGCUACAACCAUAACAACCAUAGAAGAGAAAUUUGAUAGUAUUGUUGUCAAUAGCAUCUCCACUUGAAAAGAUACAAAGUUGCACAACUUAAACGCUCAUCACUUAUCAAUCAUCCAAAUACUGAAUUGCAUGGAUCAAGAUAUUUUUGCAAAAUAGAAUUGUCUCUUGCCACCCUAUUCCUUUCUCUAGAUUUAACUCUUUAAAAACAUAUGUGCUGAAAGCAUGCUUGAAAAUAACUGAUAUCUAAAGUCAGCUUACAGACAAACCAUAGCUCGAGAAUGGACACUACUCAUGAAUACACAUUGAUUAAGAUAACAAUGCACAAACUUCAGAUUCAGAACAACCAAAUUCUAAUUUCACAAACAUUACACGCAUAUUAGCAAAAAAUCAAAUUCAAAAUCCGAACCAACCAACCAUCCGGGCAGUUGCUGUAAAUUCUUAGAUUAAAAAGGUUCCUACUAAAACGAUACACCAAAAAUUCAAAAUGGCAGCUUUAUCGCAUUUCCUACAUUUUCUCAGCAACCAAACAGACCCAAGUUCCAAAAACAAACAACAAAGGCAAUGACAGAGAAAAUGAAAAGUAAUACACGGUUUCUUAGCAACUUGUGUCUGAUGGUUUUCAGCAUUUUUGGGUUUGAAGAGCUUCCCCAAGUCCAUCUUCCACAUAAAACUAGACUAUAGACAGAGAAAGCUGUGGAAGAAAAAGAGAGAGUUCAAUAGACAGAGCGGUACCUAGAUUUAUGGGGCGACCAACACCGAUACCAACACCGCAGCCUAUGCCAAAGCCUGUAAAUACUUGACCCACUUUCAAAGUAAACGGAUUCUCUAUUCGGAUUCCCCCACUUGGCCUUCUCUCAUUGGCCACCACCAAGCCACUCUUGCUACUACUAUUGCUGCUGCUGGCCUCCAUUUCUGAACAAGCUUCUCCCUCUUUUCGAAAGCCAAAAGCUUAAAGCUUAACUCUCUCUCUCUCUCUCUCUCUCUCUCUCUCUAAUAGCCCAAGCCUCACACUUCUCUCUCACUCCCCUUGAAAUCUUUUCUCUCCUGAAAUUUCCCACCUUGCUCGCUCGCUCUAAACUGCAAAUCUAAAACAUUACGUACAAGGCAAAGUGAUGAGCCAUACUUCUCUGCUAACCAGAAAUUGUGUAAACUUAGGCCUGCAAUCGGCUACCCACUAGAAACAUGCCCACUUCAACCUAGGAAGUGUUGUUCAAAGUCUUGACAUGCUUAAAUUACCAAGUUACUCUGAGCUUUGUGGACAAUCAGUAAUGGAUGGAUUUAAAUUUCAUUGGUGGAUCCGUGCAGUCGUUUCAUAGGAUUCUGACUGCGGAGGGGAGGAGUGUUGUUGUACAUAAGAAGCGAGGUAACCGAGUAUCGAACAAACAGGCAGCUGUUGUUACCAAAAAAUAAAAAUAAACAGGUAGCUGUCUAUGGGCUUGAAAAGGUUGGGCAAGUCCACAGGAUCCUUGGAUUGGCCUGAAGUGUAUUGCUCACAAGUUGCCCAAGUCCGAAAGUACGAACAAUACAUACGCUAUCCGAGGCUUAAGCCUUUUUUUUUUUUUGGUUACAUGGCGGGGCAAGCCCCAAGAGAAAAGAAAUUAACGAAGAACACUUCGGGGCAAAGCCCGACUUAACCUAUCAUCAUGCAAAAUAUGGUCCAGAGAAGAAAGCAUAUCAUCAAAACUAUGCAAACCCAAUUAUGGCAGCGAGGUGAUCAACAUGAUUCUGUUCAGUGUUCGCUGUCCGAGGCAUCUACUUUUCUCACCAAAUGUGUAUAGAAUAUGUUUGUACGCAUGUUAAAGUCUUGAUAAAAAUAAAUAAGGUCUAAAAUGGGCCUAAGUGAAAAAUAAAUUGAAGCAUUAUUUCGUGAGCAAAACGUAAUAAAGAAAUUGGGUGUGAUGGACAUAAUUUGGUCUCACCAAUUUUUAGCAUAAACUAGCAUCAAAAAGCAAACUUUUGGACAUGGAGCUGCUACAUAAAGCAUCUAUCAAAACAGGUUGGUCCACGGAGUGAUCAGUUUUGGUUUGUCAAUUUAAUCGAUCAUUUUCGAUGACAUGGAAGCAUGAGAAGUGCGAACAAACUAUGGUCACUCACAACAAGGAGAGAGUAAAAGAUGAUCUUGAGGAGUUGAUGCGUUGAGUGGAUUGUGAUAAUAAAUUGUAUUUAGUUUCUGUAAAAGGUACGUAGAGUUGUGCUAUCAACCUAUUUUGUUGUGUUAUUUGAUUUUUAGUUGAAGCAAAAAAUUUAUUUAUUUUUAAUAUACAUUGUUUGUUUAAAAUUUAUCUUACCACCAAAUUUUCCUCUGGCACCUUUUUCGUUUUUUCGAGAGCGUGAUAUUAUAGUUUUUGAAUUUUAUAUUAUACUUUAUGUUUUCAAUAGGGCAUGACGUUGUUAUGUCUCUAUUUUGAAGCGUAACAAUGUGUUGAAGUUGUUUGGCUCACCAUGAUGCAGGAUAAGGAAGAGGAACCAAAGAUUGCAAGAGGAGAGCAGCGAGAGGAGAAGAAGAAGUGGCGGAAAAGAGCAGCAGUGUGCCAGUAACCGAUCGCUUUAUAUAGAGAGCUCAAAUUGUGUCUUCAACUCCAUGUGAUCGGUCGCCCAACCCUGACGACCGGUUGCCACAUGAACAGUAUUGCACGUGAUUUCUACGUAUUGACGUGUUUGACUUGGUUUUUCUAUUAUUUUUGGGAUUUUCUAGUCUAAUUUGAUAGGGUUUUGGUUUACUAUUCCUAGUUAACUUGUAGCAAAAGUCCUAUGCAUCAUAAAUAGAACUUUUAGGGCUAGGUCAAUAAGAAGAGAGAGACACACGGGACUUCAAGGGUGCUUUCAAGAGCAUCAAAGGGUUUGAGCAAAGGGUGAUAGAAAAAAGAUUUUGGGUUUGUUGAGGCCCAAAAAAUCCACUGUUCGGCCCAAAUAUAUUCCCGGCCCAAUGCGAUACCUUAUUGAGAAGAAACCCGAUUUGGGCACGCGAAAAUUCGUCAUAUGCGCUUGCACACAUGCCACGCCAAGCAAAUGAGCAACACGCCAUGCUACAAGCCUAAGUGGGCCCAAGCCACUCGAAUGCGGGGCUUGCUUGAGUGGGUUGUGGCAUGGAUGGUAAUAAGUUGUCAUGAGGCCCAUUGAUGGGCCAAGAAAAAUCGAAACCCAUUUCUUAGGCCCAAAUAUGUGGGUAAGCACGAAGGGGAAAAUAACCCAUUACCUCAGCCAAAAUAGCACAUUACCUUAGAAAAAACAGCCCAUCACCUUGGGAAGUUGGCCCAUCCCUUUAGUGAACUAGCCUAUUACCUUAAAGAAUGGCCCAAGUGACUAACAAAAUAUCUGAAAGUCUCCAGCACAUGGCUGGAGACAAAACCAUGACAAAAGCCAAAAGCCACUCACAUUUGCUGGCUGCUGGAAUCUCCAGCACAUGGAAGGGAACACGUUUCAAGCAAAAAUAUCCAAAAAAUCAAGGGAUACUUGAGCAAAUCACCCUUUGAACCAGCAUACAUACCCAAUUCUUUCCCUCAUCAGACCUGACCAUGGAAAGAGGGAAGAAAAGAGAGGAAGAUGGAUGACUGAAAAUAGGAAUUCUUCACUAGGGCAGCUACGGGAAAGGGACCUUGAGCUCCCAAAAUCCCUGAUUUUGUGCAAAGGAGUAGAGUAGAUUUCACCAAAAUAGGAUGAUUGAAGGGGUGAGGGGAGAAAGGAAGGGAAAGACUUGGCAAAAUGGGAUAGAAACCAUUAGGGUUUCUUGGAAAAUGUCAGCUUCCAGCGGCUAUAAAAGAGGCAUCUUCUACCCAACAAGCAUCAACUACAUCAGAGAGCAAGCUUCCUCUCUUACUCCCAAAACCCAUCAAUUUUGUGCUCAGCCCAUCCUUUUCCCUUAGUUUUCCCUUUUGGCAAGCUGUUCUAUCACUUGACAGAGUCUUUGUCAAGCUAUCGGAAAAACACUCAAGCCACCAUUUUCUCUCUUUUUCCUUAUGCUCAACCAAACCUCUCUGCAAAAUCCUUUCUCUCCUACCUUAAUACCCCGUCUUUCCCCUAGGAACACUUAAUUUUGUCUUCAGUGCUAAACUCAUGACAACUUUGCUCUCAUGCCACAAGCCUCUCAUGCCAAGCUAAGAUUCUACCUGUAAGCACUAAGAAUUUAUCUGUAAGCAGCCAUUAUUUUUGUUGGUGAAGGUAACCAAGGUGUUUCCUAAUACUUUACUAUCCUUUUGAAAUAUUUUGGGGUAUGAUCUUUGAACUCAGACACAAGGGGGAAAUUUCAUCCAUUUUGCUCUUUACUGCAGCCCAGCCCAUUUGUAGCUGCUGGAAGAAAAAAAGCUCCCAUAGGGUUCUUGUGAGAGCUAAGGGGUUUUAAGUUGUAACCAAAAUUGUUCUUACGUACUAGUGAAUUUCUAGGUGGAUCACCAAAAGGACGUAGGCACAAGGCCGAACCUAUAUAAAUUUUUGUGUUCUUGUGUGUUUGCUUUCUCUAUUCGGUGUGUGUAUGUGUUUUAUUCACAAAGGGGUUUGUGUGUGUGAUGUUGCAUAGUACAUCAACGACAAGAUCAUGGAGUGUUUCUGCACAACAAGUGGUAUAUGAGCCUAGUUUGGCAGCGGGUAUUGGUUUAUGCCCAAGUGCUCUUACAAUUUUAAGAGCGGCGGUGUGUUGACAAUGACAAGCAACAAGAAGACACCACAACCGAUGUCGAGUGUAAAGGUCAAGUUGAAAUCGUUCACCGACAAAGAGAACUUUACUCUUUGGCAAAGGAGGAUGAAGUAUGUACUUAAGAAGCAGGUUUCUGUGUAGUCUUGGUAGGCAAAGAAAAGAAGCAGGACACCAUGACGGAUGUGGAGUGGGACAACCUAGAUGAGCUUGCUAAAGGGUCUAUCGAACAACACCUCACUAAUGAAGUGUUGUGUAAUGCGAUGGAAGACAACGCGAAGUAGACAUAGGAGAAACUUGAAGAGAUGUUUGAGUCAAAAUCAUUGUCCAACAAGCUCUUCUUGAAGGAAGAGCUUCACUCUUUAAAGAUGGAGGAAGGCGCAAGUCUAAUGGAGCAUGUCAGCACCUUUAAUAGGUGUAUUGCAAAUUUGCAAAGAAUGGAUGAGGUUUAUAAGUUAGAAGAUAAGGCCGUGAUAUUUUUGACAUUUCUGCCUCUAUCUUAUAAGCACUUCCGCAUGACGCUUAUGUUCAGCAAGGGAACUUUGAAGUAUAAAGACGUGAUCGAUGCAAGACAUCCUAACGCAUGACAUGAUAGUUCAACAUUCUGGAGAUAGCUCUCAAGGUAAAGGCCUUAUGGUGAGGACCGGAGGGCGGGGUCAUUCAAGCAAGCAUGGGGACAAGUCAAACAAUGGUGGAAAUUCUAGAUUUGAGAACAAUGAAGGGUGUUUCAAGUGUGGAUCAAAGGACCAUUGGAAGCGGAAUUGUCUAGGAUGAUGAGGGAGAAGGAACCAAAGGCUGCAAAAUGAGUAGGGGGAUGAGAAGAAUAAGUCUAAGAAAUGAGCAGCAGAGUGCCAGUGACUGGUCAUCAUUGGACAGGCGACCGGUGGCUUUAUACCGAGAGCUCAGGUCGUCUCUUCAACUCCAUGCGAUCGGUCGCCCAAUCCCGAUGACCAAUCGCCAUAUGAGUAGUGCCGCACGUGAUUUCGACGUUUUGGCGUGUUUGACUUGGUUUUCCUAUUAUUUUUGAGGUUUUCUAGCCUAAUUUAAUAGGGUUUUGGUUUACUAUUUCCUAGUUAACUUGCAGCAAAAGUCCUAUGCAUUAUAAAUAGGAAUUUCAGGGCUAGGUUAAUAAGAAGAGAGAGACACAAGGGAAUUCAAGACGGAAUUUAAUGGUGUUUUCUAGAGCAUCAAAGAGUUUGAGCAAAUGGUGAGAGAAAAGAGAGCUAGGGUUCUUGGGAUAUGUAAGGGGAGGUUUAAAUUGUGUUGGAUAUCUAGUUGUAUGGAUAUGGCUAUGGUAGGAUGAAAGAUGCUUCAAGGCACGUAUAAAUACAUUGUCUUUCAGACAUUAUUUGACCCCACAACUUGUGUGCAAAGGGGUUGAGUAAAUAAGCUAUUUGGAUACAAUGAAGCCUUAGCCUAUAUAUGUGGAUACAAGGAUGCUCAAGAAUAUCUAGGAGUUAAUAUUGUAGGAUAUAACUUCUAGAUGGUUUGCUUUUAGAGAAAUAGAUGGAGAAGAGUAUUGGUUGAAUUGUAUAUCCCUUUGGCAGAGAACCCUCCUCCAUUUAUAGAAAGGUUUGUGUCUUUUAUGAAUUGGUGUUAUUCAAAUUCAGAAAUCCAUGUAACUCUUGGAUUGCACCUCUUUAUCAAGAGGUACCACUUCAAUGAGAACACAUCUCUUCUGUGUUUUUAUUUUUGAAAUAUGUAUAUGAAGUGUUUCUAACAUUCAUAUAUCUAAUUCAAACACCUAGGUAUCAAGAGACACAUCUAAACACUCAAAAGGCACUUCAAAAUCGCACCCAAGACACGAAGGGACCGAUCAUUUUUUCCGAUGACUAGUUGCUUUGCAUAGAGAGCAAAUAUGAAACAUUGUGCCAAAAAUGACCGGUCACUUUUUACAACAUCAUCAUAUUUUGAAAAAUAUCUCUUAUGAGUUGUAACCAAAAUUGUUCUUAGAUGUUAGUGAAUUUCUUGAGUCGAUUACCAAGAAGACAUAAACACAAGGUCAAAUUUUUAUAAAUCUUUGUGUUCUUGUGUGUUUGCUUUCUCUCUUCGGUGCGUGUGUGUUUUAUUCUCAAAAGGGUUUCUGUGUGUGCCGUCGCAUAGUCUAUCAACAAUAAGAUCUUGGAGUAUUUCCGCACAUGAUAGGGAACCAACUUUUGUGUUGUGUCAAUAAGAAAUUAAAAAUGAGAUACUAAAUAGGGAUACCGAUAGUGACACAACACCUUAUUUGUCUUCGAUGCUCAAGAGGCCAUAUAUAGAAAUUGGAGUCAAUGGUUCAACAAUAAGCGCUUUAGCAUUGAAGACAUUAACUCUCACGCCAGAGAGGUACCGAAUUCUGUGAAGAGUAUGCUUAACACGUUUUUGAUAGUACACUUGACGAGGGUUUAGCUUUGUGGUUGUGAACUUGUGAGGACUAAAGAGCAAGCAAACAUUGCCUCACAUGGUGUAGAUAUAGAGAUCACAAUUAUUGAGAGUGAAGUUGUACGUUUAACGUCCCCUCUCUCCACACUUCAAUGCUUGAUAUCAAAAAUUGACUCACCCACAGAGAUUUAGUGCACGUCCCAUGCAUAUUGAGAAACUUCACAUCAAAUUUUAUCCCAUUAUAUCUCCAUCUGUCUUUGAAAAAGGCGUUAUGAAUUCAUCGCUCUUUUUUACUGAGUGUACACAAUUGAUUUUAUUUCUUUUUGUCAAUUAUUAUUUUUUCUUUUUUCUGGAACAUAUUUUGUUACUGCUUUUGUUGAUAUUUUCGUAUUUUCAAAUUCAAGAUGAUGCUUGGAUAUAGGUCACCAUCAGCUCAAGUCAUAAUUUGGGCUUUUUCCCAAUAUUUAUUUAUUUUUCUGGUAAGCAAUUUGCCCAAUUUUUUGAGUAAGCAUUGUGGAAUUCUGAGAGUGAAGAGUUAAGAUGAUAUGCUGACGAAAGAGAGAACCAUGGCAUACUUUGCUCCACUAGUUUUCUGUGAGAUAGUUAAAGAGCUCUCUCUGUUACUAAAUGCAAAGUUGCUCAAUUGGGAGCAUUUUCAGGCAUGGCUCAAUAAUUAAAUAACCAUGGCCCAUUAUUGAAUUAACUUUAAUAGGAGAAAGAUUUCCAUGAAACGGAGAUAGCACUACAUACGUGAUAACACUUCUACGUGGCAUAAUAUUAUUGUCCGGACAUAGCAAACCAAUGCUAUCCUCCCGUUGCAACCAAGUUUUACUCUGUCAAUAGAAAGCUGCCCUUUUAAUUACUUUGCUCAUUGAUUCAUCAAAUGUGACUGGUCACAGACACACGCAUAAGAUUAAUUUUCUUACCCCACUACCCAACAACUUAGCAAGUACAAAAGGACCAAUUUGCUUGUUAAAAUAUCAUUUAGGAUGCAGCUCAAUUUUGUUUCUGAUUUACCAUAAAAAACACAUGCACUUUUUAUAUCUUUGAAUCUUACUGCACUAAAUUAUACAUGAAUUUUGAUGGAUCAAAUUAAAUAGAGAUACAUUUCUUAGAUAGACACACAAAUUUACCAGAAACUGUGAUUUUGAAGACUGCUAGAAUUCAUCCUGAUAAGGAACUGUGACAAUCACUUUCACUUCAUCAGGGCAACCCUUUUGAUCAGCUGAUGGCAUUGCCAUGACAAGUCCACCGGAAACGAAUCCGAUCCAAUAUGAAACAAGAGCAGGCUUAUUCCCUUUGCGAAAUUCGAUGUCAUUUGCGCCGAAAUCAUCCCAGAUUGCUGCUGCAAUUUGACUCUGAAGGCCUGAUUUCGGCUUAAUAAGUCCAUCUUUUGGAAAGUUCUCAACCUUGAUUGAAUUGCAGGACUUGGUCUUCAAAAACAAGGACCACUUGGGAGUCAUUUUGGUACCAAACUUGCGCUCUGCUUCUUCAACACAAAAUUGCAAUGCAUAAUCAUUCUCCGAAUUCACAUGCUCCCCCGGGAUAGUGAAAAUCGUAGUUUGGCUAGAUUUUUUGCUAGUAUUAGAGCUAAAUAUGCUAGUGGGGGAGCUAUCAGUACAUUUUUUAGUGUUAGGGAAAUAAUACAUUGGUGCUGCAGGUAGAUCAUCUUUUGAAAGCAUAUUGUUGUGGAUGUCAGCCCAUUUCUUGAUGAAGUUUUCCUUCAACAAAAUGUCUGCCAGAAGAAGGCUGCAGCUAAUUCCUAUUGAGCAUCCUCCACACUGGAAAUUGGUCACCUAAGAAACACAAAAGUAUUAUAAAUAAAUAAAUAAAAGAGCUUGAUCCAUAAAUUCAACACCAAGCUCCUACGUAUGAUUUCUUAAUUAAUUAAUUACCUGAACAUAAACAAGUGGAGAGUACUGAGGAUUUUGUUCAUCAAUAUCUUUCCAAAACACAAGCUCAGCUUCUGCAUCCUUUCUGCCUCUGCUGGCCCUGAAAUCAAGAAACUCAGACAAGGAAGCUGGGAUCCUUGUCUCAAGAAGUCUAAUGCCACUGUCAUUUGACACAAUCUCCAUCAAUUCAUCUCCUUCUCGAAACCGACCAGCAAAUAUUGGUUGCUCCAACAAGGCCCUUGCUAGUGACUCCUUGAGCCAUCCAACAUGAAACCAACGAGCAUCAUCUUGGCUUGCCUUUGCGUGGUAAAGAAGGAUGUGCAGGCAAUGCCUGAAUAUUCCCGAACCGAUAGGGUCUGCCGUCAACACUUGGCGUGCUUGUCGUGGCUCCGUUAUUCUCAACGGUGUCACAGUCUGCACAGAUUCCAUGUGUAUUUCUGGGAUAAGCUCACUUUUGGACAUUGCCAUCUUGCACAAAAGGGAAUGGAGUUACUACUCUCAUAUAUAUAUAUAUAUAUAUAUAUAAAUUACAAAAUAUGCUUAUUGCUUUUUAUCAUAAAUGCUCUCUUUUUCGUCAAACAGUCUGUCAUCAUGUGAUGCUAUAAAUUCUGAAUAUAAACCAUUUUAGGACUAAGAUCUCCUUUAUAAGUUUUCAAAGAGGUUUUGGUAUACCCUAGUCUUGGAAUAAGGUAGCCUCCACUCCCUCUAAACUUUUCGAAACCGUGAAUAUAAACCAUUCUAAAUCAAGAGAAAUAAUAAUACGUAUGAUUGCGGUAGCGUAAUUAAUAAUGCGUUAGAUAUUUAAAAAGACAAAGUUCCUUGUUUCACAAUUAAUGGAAAGAAUUGCAUAAGUAUUUUAAGAAUGAACAAGUCAUGCAUUCUCAAUGCAUUCAACUUGGGAAAUGUAUGACUUUUUAUGCAGCUGAGUUAGACGCGCAGGUGGUGGAUAUGCUUCACCGUCAUCACAUAAAUAUAUGGUUAGUUGAUACAAUUUUUCGUUUUCUAAUAAAUGCACCGUUCAUAUAGCGCGAUCAAUUAAAACAACUAUUAAUUGAGCCUAAAAAAGGGAUUAUAGGAGGGCAAACUACCCUCUCCAAGGUGGUCUAGCUCCUCACGUUUUGGCUAUGUCAUUCAAGGCAAAAUGACAAAGGCUGCCCUACAAGUUAAUGACAAAUGUGUAAUGGGCAGUGCUACGUACGGAUUCCCUAGCACAUGUUGGGUUUAGCAUUUAUAUUUGUGUUAAUGGUUGUACACUUAUUAUACAUGUACAUAUUUCUUCAUACAAUUGACAGUUGGUAGGUGAAUGUGUUUGUUGAUUUUGGUUUGAAGAUGCUGUUGGGAUUCAACAUGUUUAUGAGAAUCAAGUCUUUGUACGAGUUAAAAAAAUAAAAAAUUUACAAGAUGAUGAUUACAGAUCAUCAAAUAUAGGCACAAUAAUGUGUAUAUAUGUAUCUAUACAUAUUUCAUGUCAUGGUGUAGCAGAACAUAGGCCCAAAACAUACUUGUGAUGAGGUAUUUAAAGACAAUUUGUAAGGCUUAUUUGUUGACAUGCCUCCUGUGGUUUUCAAAAGUCUCAGUUUGCCCUCUGACAUUUCAAAUGACUCAAUUUCCCCCCUGAACUUCUAUUACGUGACCAAGGUUGCUCCAUUCCGUUAGUUUUCAGAUCAAACCGUUAAAUCAACUGACUUGGCACGGGUAUUUUGAUAAAUUUGACUAUUUAAAAUUCAAAAUAAAUAUAAAAAAUGCUUGAAAUUAUUUAAAAUAGAGUUAAGAUAAAAAUAUCUCCUUUUUUCUCCCUCAAUCAUCAACCCCCACCACUUUCUCCCUAAUCUCAACCAACCCCAGCAACCACCUUUCCCAUCCCCAUUCCUCUGUCAAAAUAAAGAUACCCAAAAAACUUAGCAACCUUCCUCCUCUCUCUCUCUCUCUCUCUCUCUCUCUCUCUCUCUCUCUCUCUCUCUCUGUGCCAAAAAAUCAGCUCUCCACUGUAACAUCCCACAUCGACCAACAGAGAGGGGGUGAUGUGUCUUAUAUGUAUAUGCCCACCUCCAUCUAGCACGAGGCAUUUUGGGAGCUCACUGGCUUCGGAUUCCAUGGGAACUCCGAAGUUAAGUGAGUUGGGGCUAGAGCAAUCCCAUGAUGGGUGACCUACUGGGAAGUUGCUCGUGAGUUCUCAGAAACAAAAUCGUGAGGGCAGAGAGGGGGGGUCAAAAGCGAACAAUAUUGUGUUACGGCGGAGCAGAUCGCGGGAUGUGACAAUUUGGUAUCAGAGCCACUCUGCCGUGUGGUGAGAGUGUGCCGACGAGGGAGUCGGGUCCCUAAGGGGGGUGGAUUGUAAUAUCCCACAUCGACCAAUGGAGAAGAGGUGAUGUGCCCUUAUAUGUACAUGCCCACCUCCUUUUAGCAUGAGGUCUUUUGGGAGCUCACUGACUUAGGAUUCCAUGAGAACUCCGAAGUUAAGAGAGUUGGGGCUAGAGCAAUCCUAGGAUGGGUGACCUAAUGAGAAGUUGCUCGUGAGUUCCUAGAAACAAAACCGUGAGGGCGGAUAGGGGGGCCCAAAUCAGACAAUAUCGUGCUGCGGCGGAGUCGAUCCUUGGAUGUGACAUCCAGUCUCUUCGACAUCAUCAAACCCUAACUAACAAUUCACCCGAUGUCUCUCUCCUUCUUUGGCUCCCACCAAGGGAGAUAAGGACUGCCACAUAUGCGAAAUCUGAAGUCAAUUAGUGAUUUUAUUUGUGAGUUUUGAGCCUUUUGACAAUUGAGGGGAGGAGGUUGACAAGAGAGAGAGAGAGAGAGAGAGAGAGAGAGAGAGAGAGAGAGAGAGAGAGAGAGAGAGAGAGAAAGGGAGAAGUUGGGGUGGGUUUUUUCUAGGUGUGGGUUGGUUGGGCAGUGGGGCUGGUUGAGAUAAGGGAGAAGGUGGUGGGAGUUGAUGAUUAGGGAUAAUAAAAAAAAGGACAUUUUUAUCUUUAUUUUUAUUUAUUCCUAUUUUAAAUAAUUUCAAGCAUUUUUUUUAAUUUUUAAUUUGAAUCUUUUAAUUUUUAAUAGUUAAAGUUACCAAAAUAACCAUGUCACUUCAACUGAUUUAAUUGUUUUUAUCUGAAAACUAACAGAAUGGGGUAACCUUGGUCACAUAAUGGAAGUUCAAAGAGGAGAUUGAGUCAUUUAAAAUAUUAGAGGACAAACUGAGACUAUUUGAAAAACUUAUGGGGCAUUUCAACAAAUAAACCAAGUUGUAAUGCUUCAAGUACUUGUAUAAAUAAACACAACGAUUUCCGACCCUCUCCCUAAACUGUCAGUGGGAAUCUUCAAGAAUCAUAAUGUGCCAUCGUUUACAAGGUGACCAUGAUGAGAUAAAACUGUCAUGUUUUAACAAAUCGUAAAGGCUUUUUAUAUUGAAGCAUAAAGCAGCUAUAAAAAGGAAUAAGGUUGCCUAGUUUUUUUUUAUAGGUAUAAGCCUAAGGGCUUCUAAUAAUGGAGUAUUGAGGGACAAAUGGGGUUAGCCGACCCCAUGCCAGUUGGAAAAAAAGGGGUGAAGUUCUCAUGCUACCCAAUGCUUGCUGGAGUGCGACCCUAAGGCGGCCCGCACACCAACUAUUCGACUAAAUGAGCGAGAGGGACCUUGUUCUGCUGCCCUGUGUAGCGCAGGCGAGACUGUCUUUUUUUUUUUUUUGUUUUUUUAAUAAAAAAAAUGCCUGGCCAAAACGACGCUGUUUUGGUCUAGGUGUGUUUUUUUAUUUAUUUAUAAAUUACCUGGCUUCAAAACGGUGUCGUUUUAAGCCAGGUUAAAAGAAAAGGAAAAAAAGGAAGAACCAUCAUCCUUACUCGACUCCAACAGCCUCCAAAUCCCAAAAACCCAAUUUCUUCCACAUUUUCCCUCUCCUCUCUCAAACCUUAAUCCUUAACCUCCAGACCGGCGCAAACCACCCCCUUGCCGCCACGGCGCUACCACCUCUCAUAAAUUCAAGUGAGUAGGACUCCUACAUAAUCAUUUUUAGUGUUAAUUUUUUCUUUAAAAAUUUGGAGACUUUUACACUAUGACCCUAUGACCAUAUGAGGUCACAAUCCUGCAUCCGCCAUUGAUGAUAACCAGGUGUCUUUGGUGACAUUGUGCCGAACUAGUCCACCUAAAUUAUAAUAUGUGUAUAAUCAGUAAUAUUAAUAUAUCAUAUUUAGACCUAAAAAGUGAACCCUAUAAGGAAAGAAAGGACCGAUAUAUGCAUGCAAGAACCAUCUUAACAUAACUUCAAUACAUAACAAUGUUAACGUUCCAGGAAACACAAAAAUAAUUUUUCAGAUCUUAAGGCUCUCUAUGUAGGAUUUUUCCUCUUUGAAGGAGAGAAACUUCAUAUAUUCAUCCAAGCUACUUGCGCUGUAUCUUUCUGGAUGAUCUUCAUCAACAAGCUCUGUGGCAGGCUCCACCAUAUCUUCCAUGGCUAGGCUAAGAAAGCUACCUACAGAAGCCCUACUCAUUAGAGGGCUUGGCACUAUAAAAAAAGUGGCAACAAUUACCGUUUUGUCAUCAAUUUUGGUACCUGUUGUGGGAGUUACUAAAGGCUUUAGUCACUAAAAAAAGCAAAAAAGGUGAUUGAAAGCCUUUUUAGUCACCAAAAAAGUCAAAAAAAGGUGAUUAAAGCCUUUAAUAUCAGCACUUCCAGCAGUGCAACCAAGAGGAGGGCCGGGGGGGGUGUGUGGGGGGUGUGUUGGUUUGGCCCAAAAUCUCGUUUCCAGAACAAAAAAUGGCCUGAGCAUAUGGUGGCACCCAGCAGACUGGGCUAGCCCCAGUUUUGCAAUGACGUCAGUUGUGGUGUUCAAAAUUUUUUUAAAGUUGGCGCGUGCGUUGCACGCCCCACCGUUAAAAAAAAUUGCACGCGCUAUACAGUAGCCACCAAUGGCUAGCUUCCACGUGUCAGCGUCUGGGCUCUCUGAUAAAUUUUUUUUCCUCCAAUCCAACGGCAGCCAAUUUUUGUGCAAUAAAAAAAAAGAAAAAAAAAUUGAAUUUUAAAAAAAAAAAAAAAUUAAUGAAUUUUUUUUUUUCUGCUAUAAAUAUCAACCAAUACUCUUCAUUUUUAACACCAAAUCCUCAUACAUUUUCUUCUCCUUCAACUAUUAUUUGCUUUCUACUCACUAUUAUUUUCACUUUCAAGUUUUAUUUUUCUAUAUCAUAUUAUGGCUUCUUCUAUCGAAACCGGAGGGGCAUGGAGCAUGAUGGAAGAUGUUUUGUUGUGUGAGUGUUGGGUCCAAAUUAGUCAUUGUCCCGUCUCGGACAAUGAGAUGAAAUUCUGUCAUAUGUGGAAAAAAAUUCAUAACGAAUUUUGUGAAAGAUCGGGUUUAACCGGUACUGAAAUAGCAUUAUCUAGUAGGUGAAAAAUUCUCAAUAAAGAGUUGGCGAAAUGGAAAGAUGCCUUGGCAAAAGCGAUGGACAACCAUAGAAACGGGGAAAAUCUUAGUAAUGAAGUAAAUUAUUUGUAAUUUUCGUUUAUUAAUUUUAAUGUCCUGUUAAUUUUUAUUUAAAUAUUUCUUGCAAUUUCUAUAUUUUGUUAAUAUUUCUUGUAUUUUCAAUAUUUAUUUCAAUAUUUCUUGCAAUUUCUAUAUUUUGUUAAUAUUUCUUGCAUUUUCAAUAAAUUGUUAAAAUUUAUUGCAUUUCCAUUAUUUUAUUUAUAUUUGUUGCAUUGCCAAUAUUUUUUUAAGUUUCUUGCAUUUCCAAAUUUUUUUUAUUUUUUAUUUUAUAUAUAGAUUAUGCAAGCACAAAUGUGGUAUGGUGCUACUGGGUAAUGCAAAAAAACUAACGGUUUUUUGUAGAAGCCGUUUUAGGUCCCUGGGCGUAGGUCUGCGCAGGUAGUCCCUAGUGUAUAGAGUUUCGACUGCAUCACAAAAUCUCACCAAGCUCUCCAAAGUAGUGAACUUCCCCAUCAGGACAAUCUCAUCCACCUGAUCAGCAGAUGACCCAUAUGCCAACAUUCAUAUAACAGCUGUGAACUUCCGUUCAAGAAGAAGUUCCAAAUUUCCAGCAGCAUUUUUCUUUUGAACAAAGUAUUCAUCAUAAUUGGAAAUAUCAUGCAUGACUUUAUUGAACAAAUGAGGUUGCAUUCUAUAUCACGCAAGAAAAUACCCCAAGAAUGUCUAUGUCUGUCCACAUUCGGGCCACGAUCUUCUUGUGAACCAUGGCGGCUCUGGUUUUUUUCAUCAAGCAAAGCCACUGCCAUGACAAGUUGCUAAUCUAGGUCUUUCUACGCCCUUUUGCCUGCAACUCAUCUACGCCUUCUUUCUGUAGUUUCUCGCUCUUGCCUCUCCAAGACCUCGUUCAUGUCUACCAUUGAGAAUGGAGUAUGAAUUCUAAAAUCUGAAAAAUGAAAAUAUAGAGAAGAUCUGGUGUGAGAGGUAUGAGCUGAGCCUUUGGUUUUAUAGAAAAAUUUAGGCAUAUAGAGAUGACACGUGGCGCAAUUUUAGAGGGUGAAAAUCUUAUUUGAAAUUUGAAAUUUAUCUGAAAUUUGAAAUUUGAAAUGUAUCUGAAAUUUGAAAUUUGAAAUUUGAAAUUUGAAAUUUGAAAUUUAUCUGAAUUUUGAAUUUUGAAAUUUAUAUGAAAUUUGAAAUCGAAAAUCUUAUCCGAAAAUUUUAUAUGAUUAUGAGAUAUGAAUAGUAUUGACACGUAGGAACCCAAAAAUCAUAUCCGAAAAUAUUAUCCAAAUUAAUUGUUUAGGUAAACAAAUUUGUGAAAAAAAUAAAAAAAUGAAUAGUAUUUGUCCUUUGUCAUGACAACUGCUGGAAACACACAUUGCUUUUUGCAAGGGCAGCCACUAUUCACGUGAAUAGUAACUGCCCUAGCCCCCCCUACCAUGGCAAAGAGCAAACUACUGGAAGUGCUCUUAGCCCCACAGCAGUCACAAAAAUUGGUGAUAAAAUGAUAAUUGUUGUCACUUUUUUUUGUAGUGUGGAAAACACUAUUGUACAACUCAUUGCUGAGAACUUCAAGAUGAUUCCCUACCAGGACUUUAAGGGCACCAUCGGUUGCUGGGACAGACUUCCAAGCAUUGUCGUCUGUGAAAUCCAUGAUCUCAAGGCCUGACAUGUUUUCAAGAAGGAUGGUGAUGAAACUGUGGUCUGUAUGUGAUGAAAGUCCGAGCAUAUUGCUUGAUGGGGAAGAUUGUGGGUAUUUGUUGGCUAUUAUUACGUCCACUCCUUGCUCAAGCUUGUUCCUCAAGUAAGUUGGACUUAGAGCUAAGCUCUCCACAAUGGCUCCCAUUAUUUCAUUGCUUAAUCUCCUCACCUCCGCUGCAUAAUUUCCCAAGUUUCCUCUAACAAAAACAUCAAAUUAAUUUCCUUAGUUACUUUAAAUUAUAAUUAACUAUAUGAAGGAACUCUCUCCAAAAAAAAAAAAACAAAAAAAAAAAAAAACAAAACAAACUAUGAAGUACCGAGUUCAUGGUCUAAUAAUACCCAGUCUUCACUUUGUAUGCCUCAAAUUUGAAUAUGAUGAAUAAAUAGUAAAUAGUAAAUUUGGCUUAUACCCUUUAAAUUCAAUUUGUCUUAUCUACAACCCUUCACUUUUCGUUCCUAUAAAUAAUACCCAAUUUUUAUAAGUAAAAACCCAUGACUGGGAUCCAACUUAUCAAGUUAUCUUAUUAAGCUCAAUAUCUAAUUUAUUAUAAUUUUUUGAUUCCCAAAAUACCCCUAUUUACAAUUCAAUGGGUUGGUGUUUUAAUUUUUGGUUCCCCAAUUUAUUGUGGUGAUUUUCUUCCGAAUUUUUGUAUGCAAUUAAUUAUCCAUUUUUUUUAAUAUUAAAAUUCAUUAAUAGAUAUAGUCAACAAUGAGUUGGCCGGAAAGGCUUAGUUUUCCUUAUUUGCUUGCCUUUUUGAAAUUUUGUUCCAUCUUUUUUUUUUUGGUAAAUACCAUGAGGUGCCCCCAACUUGAAGGGUAAGAUUAAUCCCCGCUUGGGGUUUGGCUUGUCCCUGAUCACAAAGUGCUUCCAACGGGUUUUGAACUCUUGCCAUUGAGGCGCCAGGUAGCUCACCAACUGAAUGUGACAGUUUGCCAACCGUUUUUUGGUUCAAUAAAAGUACCUCAGGGUUGAUUAAAAAAAAAGUACCGCAGGGGAUUUCAUUUAUUUAAAAAAAAAUGGAUUUUGGAUUUUGAAUUUUAUUUAUUAAAGUUUUAUUGUACCUGGUUUUUCAUGAAUAAUAAUCUACCUAUUAUUAUUUUUAAAUAAUAAUGUACCUAUUUCAUGACAGUAAUUUACCUAUUAUUUUAAUAAUCUACCUAUUAUCUUUUAUGAGUAAUAAUUUAUCUAUUAUUUGCUCCUAUGAGUCAUAUGAUGUAAUAAUGUAGGCAUGAAAAUGUUAACGUACAUAAUAUCAUCUAAUUAACAUACUUUUUUUUCUUUCUAUGGCAUUGUACCUAUUAGAAUAUAUAUUAUAUAGAUAUAUAUAAUUGAAGGAUAUUAAGUAAAUAUAUAUAAUUGGUUCUUUUUCUUUUUCUAAUUGUUUUAUUUAUUUAUUUAUGUUUUAUUUUUUUAGCUUCCACUGCUGUUUUAGGAAUUGAUCUAAUUUACCAACUAAAAUUUUCAUUUCAAUAGUCCUUCAACUCUUCAUUUGGUAUCAAAACGGCCAAAUUGUCAAAGUCUGUCAAUUGUUCCGUGAAAUCAAGGGAUAAAAUCGUUAUUAUGGAUUAACAUAUUAAUAAAAUAAUAUAAAAUUAUAGAAAAAUAUGGUAUAUAAAAAAAAAUCAUUUCUCCGAAGGAGGUUAAGAGGGAGUAUUUGAACUAGUUUGAUUGUAAGCCAUUAUUACAUGUGUUUACACCAUAAUGAACCGAGCAGACCCAGCACCAAAGUGACUAGCACCAAGGCAGCCACGCCUUCUCCUGUGCCGAAGGAAGACACACUUCCGAGGUGCCAGACACCUACCGAAGAUCCCAGCUGCCAAACCUAAUCUUCAGGACACGUGUCGCCACCACGACGACUUGCACAAAGUCCCACAUCGGAACUUUGUGCAAACCUCCUACUUUCACCUCCCUAUAAAUAGGGAACAGUACCCAGGUAAAAAGGAUAACUAUUCUCCCACUUUUACUGUUACUCUGCCAGACUUACUACUUGUAAUUGACUUAGGCAUCGGAGAGCCUUGGGCCGGCACCACACCGGUGUCCGAAGCUUAACGAUUGCUUCUCUCACUUUGUCUUCUGCAGGUUUCCCAUCAACCUAUAUUUCACCAAGGGCCUCAGCUCUCUUCCCUGCUGAAGACCCCGCAUACCUAAUCCCUAAGUUGGACUCACUAUUGGCCGGGCCAUUUUGAGCAUCAACAGUUUGGCGCCGUCUGUGGGAAUCUGACACUUGAAUCCCCUCUUUCUCUAUCAGCCCAGCUGGCUCCUUCACCCAUCAGGCCCCGUCGCCUCUUCUUCACCCCACACUCUGCUAUGCCGACCGAGGAUAGCCACGAUACCCAGCAUCAUACCCCCCGCGAUGGUACUUCUAGAAGGAAAUCUUCGGAAGAUGCCACUCUCCAGGCAGAAGUGGAGCACCUCCGCGAUAGUGUCACUAAAAUGUCGGAAAAAUACGAGCACCUUCAUUGCAGGAACGUUGAGCUAGAACAUGACUACCGUGCUUUAAAGCGGAACUGAGAAAGGACUCACACCCAGGAUGCCCAGCAAGACCUCACCCAGAACGUUGGGCUUAUUCAGCCGAACCAGCUAGUACAUUCCAGCCACAGUGCCUCGGCCCAAGCUAGGCUCCGCAAGGGUAAAGACCACCUUCAUCCGGAGAUAACCCAGUCACGACCCCUUUGCGUUCCCCCACCGAGGGACCGGCCCCAUGAACCAGUCAGGAUCUACCAAGAUUGCAGGGAUCGCCUCUCGGACCGUCAGCCAAGGCCGAUCCCUAUCCUUGUCAACCUCGAAGACCCACGGGUGACACAACUGGGCCCCUCACCAGCCCCCGUCCGCAUACCCAACGAGGAAGGUGUCGGGGACUCGGAUACUUGGGAAUUUUAUAAUUCAGAGACCUGGCCAAAUUACCACACCGAGGCGCUAGAAAAUUGGGAACAAUCCCCAGUCCCUGUCUGCCCCGCCCCCAGGCCUUUGGCACCUGAAACUCUUCCUCAUGCCGACCCGGCCAUGAGGCUUCUCUUCGAAAAGGUCCGGCGCUGGAAAGCGAACAACAUCGCAGCCAUCAACCCCUCUGGGCAAAACCACGACCAGGGCCCUUUACCGAACGCAUCCUCCACUACCACCAGGAGAAAGAUAUCCAGCCACUCCGCAUCGCUUUCUACACUGGCACGGAGGACCCUCUCACCCACAUCCACUCCUUCCAGUCUGCCCUUGGGUGCAAAGGCCUCACUGAUGAAGGCAUGUGCCUCCUUUUCCCUUCCACCCUCAGCGGCGCGGCCCUGAAUUGGUUGUACAGGCUCCACCCCCGCACCAUCAACUCCUUCGAUAGUCUCAAGCAGACGUUCCUGGACCAUUUUAUGAUCCAGACUGAUCGCCUAUACUCUGCCGACGACUUGUAUAUGCUUAAGCAGGCUGAGGACGAACCCCUUCGGGAAUAUGUAGCUCGGUUCAGUCAUGAAUACUCCCGCUGCCCAGACACUGACGAUCGCGCUGCCUUCGGCGCUUUUAAGAGCGGCUUCCGCGAGUCCAACUUCCGCCACCUGGUUCAUAGCAACAGUUGGAACACAUAUGCAGAGCUGAUGAAGCAGGCGGCGGUCCAUGCUAAGGCUGAAUACUUCAAUUCCAAGCGUGGCCCAGCCAACCUGGCGCGCAACACUUUCGCCGACCCUCCACCUGCUUCAGCAACCGCCCCAGCCCCACCUCAGCAUUCUACCCCUGCCCCGAGUGCCCAGGACAACCAACAACAUAAGCAGAAGGAUAGCUACCAGCAUCCCUUCGGUAAUAACAAACGUGGCAGACAUGGCAACCACCACCACUCUAGUGGAAGCAACCCUCCCAAGACAGCUGAUCGGGCCCCACUUCCAUUCACACCCAGGCCCAGGUUUGAGGUUUUUACGACCCUCAAUACUACCUAUGAGAACGUCCUGGUGCGUGAAGCCCCCAUCAUCCCCAAGCCACCCCCCCGGAGACCAUCCAACAAGCCUAUGCCAAACACGGGGGUCUUCUGCCGCUUUCAUCAAUUCAGCGGCCAUGACACCGAGUCUUGUGUUGCGUUGCGCAACAUAAUUGAAGGGCUCAUCCGGGAGGGUAAGCUGGACAACUAUGUGCGCAACAUACCAGCCUCGCCUAACCCUCACCAACGAUAAAUCAACAUGAUCUCCACCAUCAGCGGAGGUCCUACCCUGGCUGGCACCUCCAACAACUCCAUCAAACAUUAUGUCCGCUCCACCUAUGCGCACCAGGUCUUCAGCACCGAGCAGGGACGCUUGCCAAAGACCCAUAGGACUGGCUGGGCCCCCAUUACCUUCUGCGAGGAGGAGGAGCGUGGUGUUAUCCUCCCCCAUGACGACCCACUCAUUAUCCGGGCUGACAUUUCUAACUUCGACGUUGGGCGUAUCCUGGUGGACAUUGGCAGCUCGGUCAGUGUGAUGUUUGCCGAGGCCUUCAACGAACUCCAGGUCCCGCCUCACCUACUCGACCGAAGCAUCACACCCCUUGUGAGCUUCUCGGGUGAUGUGGUCCAGCCCAUUGGCAGCAUUCAUCUCCCUAUCUCAAUUGGGGCCGCACCUCAGCGGACGACGAUCACUACCCCCUUCCUUAUCGUCGAUUGCCCCACAGCCUACAACGUCAUCCUCGGCCGCCCAGCCUUGGCCCAAAUGAGGGCUUUUAUUUCCACGCAUAUGCUGCUGUUGAAGUUUCCCACUCCCAAUGGCCCAGGCACGGUGCGCGGCGACCAACUCGGGGCCCGAAGCUGUUAUGCUUCAGCAGUAAAAUCCACCAAUCGCCAACCUAGGAGUGAGGCCCUUGCGGUAACCAUGGCGCCCGCCCCCCCUCAAGCUGGCACCGACCCACCUGAGGACCCGAGGGAGGAGUCCAUCGCACCACAGGCCGAACCUAUGGAGGACCUGGAGCUGGUUACCCUCCAUGACGAUAUCCCGGAUCGGCACCUCCAUCUCGCCAGAGCUUCGCUCUGACCUGGUCGCCUUCCUCCGCCUCAACUCCGAAGUCUUCACAUGGUCCUACAAUGACAUGCCUGGCAUAUCCCCAGACAUCAUAUCCCAUAGGCUUAGCGUCAAUCCUGCCGUCAGACCAGUCCGACAGAAGCGUCGCGCUUAUGAUCCCGAGCGCUAUGAGGCCAUGAGGGCGGAGGUGGAUCGAUUGAGUAGCAUCGGAUUCAUCAGGGAGGUUGACUAUCCUACAUGGCUGGCUAAUGUCGUGAUGGUUCGCAAGCCAAGAAAGGGCUGGCGCAUGUGUGUCGAUUACACCAACCUUAAUCGGGCUUGCCCAAAGGACAGCUUCCCGCUACCCCGCAUUGACCAGCUAGUCGACGCCACGGCCGGCCACGCCCUCCUUAGCUUCAUGGAUGCUUAUUCAGGUUACAACCAGAUCUUCAUGCACCCCGAAGAUCAGGCCCACACCUCUUUCAUUACGGACCGCGGCCUCUACUGCUAUAAGGUGAUGCCCUUUGGCCUCAAAAACGUCGGGGCUACUUAUCAGCGUCUGGUGAAUCAGCUCUUUGCCCCACUGAUUGGCAAUACCAUGGAGGUCUAUGUCGAUGACAUGCUAGUCAAGAGUCGCACAGCUGACCAACACAUCCCUAACCUCUCUGCCAUGUUCACCAUCCUAAAGCAGUACAAAAUGAGGCUUAACCCCACCAAAUGUGCAUUCGGGGUGGCUUCUGGCAAAUUCCUGGGCUUCAUGAUCAGCCAGAGGGGUAUUGAGGCCAAUCCAGAAAAGAUCCAGGCCAUCUUAGACAUGACGGUACCUAAGACGGUCAAAGAUAUCCAAAGCCUUACAGGGCGUGUCGCAGCCCUGACCAGAUUUAUCUCCAAAGCCACUGACCGCUGCGCCCCAUUCUUCAAGGCCCUUAAAGGCACCAAAAGAAACAUCACCUGGACUGCUGAAUGCGACACGGCUUUCAGCGAGCUCAAGGAGUAUAUGGGCCGGGCCCCUUUAUUGUCAACCCCGGAGCACGGAGACAUCCUCGUGAUUUAUCUCUCCAUCUCAGCUUCGGCUGUUAGCUCUGUGCUCAUCCGAUCAAAAGAUAACGCGGAACACCCAGUGCAUUAUGUUAGUAAAGCAUUGCAAGAUGCCGAAGUUCGGUACCCGGACAUCGAAAAAUUGGCGUUUGCCCUGGUCGUCUCGGCAAGACGCCUCCGACCAUAUUUCCAAGCUCACACCAUCCAUGUCUUAACCAACCAACCACUCCGACAGGUGUUGCAGAAGCCAGAAACUUCUGGGAGGCUGGUUAAGUGGGCCAUUGAACUUGACGAGUUUGAUAUCCAUUACAAACCCCGCCCGGCUCUAAGGGGACAGGCCGUUGCUGACUUCUUAUCCGAAUUCACGGAGCCUCAAGCUUCGGCAGCUAUCCAGCCCAUAACCGAACCCAAUCCCCCUCCCAGCCAGGACCAAACCCCCACCGAAGGCAAUCUCGACCUAACCCAGCCCCUGUGGACCUUAUUCGUAGACGGCUCUUCUAAUGCCCAGGGCUGUGGGGCCGGCCUCGUUCUCAUCUCCCCAGACAAGGUUGCCCUCGAGUACGCCCUCCGCUUCAAAUUCCAAGCCUCCAACAAUGAGGCCGAAUAUGAAGCACUCUUAGCUGGUCUUCGAUUAGCCAAAGAGAUGGACGCCAGGCAAAUUCAGAUAUUCAGCGAUUCACAACUCGUGGUCCACCAGGUCAACCAGGACUUCACGGCUAAGGAUGCCUCUAUGACGGCCUACCUCCAGCACGCUCGGCACUUGCUGGCGACCUUCCACGCCCACUCUAUCAAGCAAGUGCCGCGCUCCGAGAAUAGCCAUGCCGAUGCACUAGCCAGGUUGGCAUCAGCCUUGGAGCAAGGAAUGGGUCGCCACAUCCACAUCGAGUUUUUGGCCCAGCCCAGCACACAAGCCCCACUCAUCUGCACUAUUGAUCACAACCCUACAUGGAUGGACCCCAUCCUCCAGUUCUUACAGAACCAAACACUACCGGCUAAUCCGGCAGAAGCACGACGCGUUCGCCAUCGCUUUGCCCGUUACCUGAUCAUUAACGGCUCCUUAUACAAGCGGGGUUUCAGCCUUCCUUACCUCCGAUACCUGACUCCAGAGGAGGGUCACUAUGUCCUCCGAGAAAUCCAUGAAGGCAUAUGCGGUAACCACUCGGGCGCACGCUCGCUGGCCCAUAAGGCAAUCCGCCAAGGAUACUUCUGGCCAUCGCUCCACACUGACGCCCAGGAAUUCACCUAGAAAUGCGACAAGCGUCAGCGAUUCGCCAACAUUCCACAACUCCCGGCUGAACCGUUGACUGCCAUCGUCAGCCCUUGGCCAUUUGCCCAAUGGGGACUGGAUCUCAUUGGACCUAUGCCAGAGGGCAAGGGCCAAGUCAAGUAUGCAGUUGUGGCCGUAGACUACUUCACCAAGUGGGCUGAGGCUGAGGCCUUGGCCACCAUCACUGCGGCUCGCAUCGAAUCCUUUGUGUGGCAAAACAUUGUAUGUCGCUUCGGCAUCCCCAAUUCCAUCGUCACCGACAAUGGCCGGCAAUUUGACAACGCCAAAUUCAAACAAUUUUGUUCCAACCUCAAGAUUCGUCUGUGUUUCGCCUCCCCAGCCCAUCCUCAGUCCAAUGGCCAGGUCGAAGCCGUGAACAAAAUUAUCAAGAAGACCCUCAAGACAAAACUUGACAAAGCCAAGGGCUGCUGGCCAGAACUACUCCCAGAAGUACUCUGGUCCUACCGCACCACCUUCCGCACAUCCACGGGUGAAACGCCGUUCUCCCUAUCAUUUGGAACCGAGGCCGUGGCUCCGGUAGAGAUUGGCCAGCCCACAUACCGAACCUCCACUUACGAUGCCACGGCCAAUGACGAGCAGUUGGCCCUCAACCUCGACUUCAUUGACGAGCUCCGGGACCAAUCGAGCAUGCGUAAUGUCGCGUACAAACAACGGAUCGCCAAAUAUUACGACUCCCGAGUCAAGCCCCGUGCUUUCAAAAUGGGGGACUGGGUCAUGCGCAAAGUUUCCUUGGCUUCCAAAAAUCCCAACGAAGAUACCCUCGGCCCUACAUGGGAAGGUCCUUAUGAGAUUAUCAAAAUCUGUCGCCCCGGCACUUAUCAGCUUCGUGAUUCCACAGGCAAGACGCUGCCUCACCCGUGGAAUGCUGACCACCUCAAGUACUAUUACAAGUAAACAUAUCUAGACCCUAGGACAAUACUUUGGUCUUGAUUAUUUACUGUAAGGUAGAAGUAAGGUAUCUAGACCCUAGACCACUUGUACCUUCUGCCUUUCGGCACCUAUUAAAUGAAACGCUUGACUCCGGCUCAUUUUCAUGCAUUCACAUGGCUAUUACUUUACUAGCACAAUUGAUAUCACACAAGUCUCAUAUCAUAAAUAAAAACACCCUGGCUCCAGGCAAGGACAAGUGUUCAUACAUAAACAAAAUAACUGUUCCAACACAAUCACUAAAGUACAAAGUCACUAUAACACAUAACGAAGGCAACGCCUUCAAGACUCGGUCGACGGGGCAUCCUCAGUGGCCGGCUCAGCCUCUGGUAUCGGGGCGCUAGCAUCAGCAGGAGGGGUCUGAGCAGGAGGCUCGCCACUGGUGUCAAAGUUAAUCUCCACCGAGGGGUUGAACCUGACCAACCUAUCUUCCCAGCGAAGCUGCUCAUCAACCAGUCGGUCCAUGAUAUAGCUCUUCAGCUCCUCUGAGGAUCGGAAGGACUCAAUCGCCUCGACUCGGGCAGCAACCACCUCCUCGGCCUUCGAUCUCUUCAGCUCCUCCACCUCCUUGGCCAGGGCCGCCUUUUGAACCAGCAAGGCGUUCUUCUCUCGGAUGGCCUCCUGCGCCUCCGCCAUUUUGCUCUUGGCUAGCUCAUCCCGCCUCUUCAGCCUCUGGAUCUCCUUGUCAGCCUUAGCCAUGCUGACGUACAUCUCGCCAAAGGCCUGCAAAACAAAAACCAUGUUAGUCAAUCCACACACACACAAUCCAACACAAAUACAUUCAAAAAGGGCCUAAACACUUACAUAGGCAGAGGUGAGGAUCGUCUUUUGGGCCCGGUCAAUGAAAGAAGAAGCUGGAGUCCUCGCCAGAGCCUCAGGGUCGCUCUUCACGCCUUCCAGGAAGACGUUCACUAAAGGCACCUCCUGCCGGUGCAUAGCCAGGUUGACCUCCUUCUUCUGCUGGCGUAGUCUGCCGAAGUCUACCUUCUCUACCCCUUCAGCGAACACGUCCUCCAUGCCGAAGGGUAGCUUCGGCGGUGCCUGCAGAUCAAAGGGCGGAAGUCUCGGCCCUGACCCCAUCACAUGCUGAUGAGCCUCCUCCAAGGCUUUCCUUUUCCCCAGCACGUCCGCGACCCGACCCUCAUCAUCAUCCCUGGGUCAUUUUCCAGCACUCUUCUCAGCUUUCUUGGCCCGAGACUCCCUCAGCCGCUUCUGCAUCUCGGCCUCAUCAAUGUCUACGGCCACCUUCGUGCUCCCCCUUAUGAUGCCAGCCACUGUCCAAACAAACAAAACAACUACAUUAGUCCCAACCACAAAAGGCCCAGCACACAACUCAUGAAUGUGACCCAGGUACUUACUUCCUUGAAGGAGUCCGGACUCAAACAAAUUCUUCUGAGUGACUAGGUUCUCGCACUCGCGCUCGGUCUCCGACAGCUGCGCCCUCACCCACUCAACCUCGUCUUCCUGCUCCUUGGAGAUAGGCCCCCACUUCACUGAACCUGCACCAAAGGUUAGAUACUACUUAGCCAUUUAUACUGGCACAGACAAAAUAGAGAACCAAGAACAAGAGCUACAGCAAAACACUAUCAAACAUCAAACAGUCUUAAGGAAUGGGGCCGAGGACCUAUAGACUGGAAGUGGGUAGGAAUGUGUUGGACAACGCUCUUCCCUGGCGGACUCUCCCAGUUCCCAUAAGCCAUGCACCACCUGUUCCUCCAGGACUUUUGUGUAGUUGGCUUGUGCCCAAUAAAAUAGCCUCUCUCCCUCGCCUUUCGGCAAUUCGCCUGUACCCAGCCAAAAUUCCCCUGCUGCUUCGAAAUAGAAUACAAGUACAUGAACUGCUCGAACGUUGGCUCCCCCAACCCAGCCAACCACCAGGCAAUGUACACCCCAUGAAGAAGAAUCCAAAAGUUGGGAUUAUACUGCCCCGGCGCAUACCCCAACUUAGCCAACAUCAUCUGCCCCC
Molecule: long non-coding RNA, 33724 nt
Filed under: Prunus persica (peach)
Lineage: Eukaryota; Viridiplantae; Streptophyta; Magnoliopsida; Rosales; Rosaceae
Source: RNAcentral